UCGAGAAUCUUCCGCAAUGGGCGAAAGCCUGACGGAGCAAUGCCGCGUGAGGGAUGAAGGCCUUCGGGUUGUAAACCUCUGUCGCCCGGGACGAAUCAAUGACGGUACCGGGAGAGGAAGCUACGGCUAACUACGUGCCAGCAGCCGCGGUAAUACGUAGGUAGCGAGCGUUAUUCGGAUUUACUGGGCGUAAAGGGUCCGCAGGAGGCCUGCCAAGUCUGAUGUGAAAGCCCACGGCUCAACUGUGGAACGGCAUCGGAAACUGGCGGGCUCGAGUGCACGAGGGGAAAGCGGAAUUCCAGGUGUAGCGGUGGAAUGCGUAGAUAUCUGGAGGAACACCGAUGGCGAAGGCGGCUUUCUGGCGUGCAACUGACUCUCAUGGACGAAAGUGUGGGUAGCAAACAGG
RNAcentral lists this ribosomal RNA (406 nucleotides) under uncultured bacterium. RNAcentral describes it as "bacterial SSU rRNA". It matches the Rfam family "Bacterial small subunit ribosomal RNA", at positions 355 to 776 of the family's 1533-position model. The record is from RNAcentral.